GAAACUUAAAGGAAGUUGACGGGGCCCGCACAAGCGGUGGAGUAUGUGGUUAAUUCGAUGCAACGCGAAAACCUUACCUGCCCUUGACAUCCUCGGAACUUGUCAGAGAUGACUUGGUGCCUUCGGGAACCGAGAGACAGGUGCUGCAUGGCUGUCGUCAGCUCGUGUCGUGGGAUGUUGGGUUAAGUCCCGCAACGAGCGCAACCCUUGUCAUUAGUUGCUACAUUCAGUUGGGCACUCUAAUGAGACUGCCGGUGACAAACCGGAGGAAGGUGGGGAUGACGUCAAGUCCUCAUGGCCCUUAUAGGUGGGGCUACACACGUCAUACAAUGGCCGGUACAAAGGGCAGCCAACCCGCGAGGGGGAGCCAAUCCCAUAAAGCCGGUCGUAGUCCGGAUCGCAGUCUGCAACUCGACUACGUGAAGUCGGAAUCGCUAGUAAUCGCAGAUCAGCAUGCUGCGGUGAAUACGUUCCCGGGUCUU
RNAcentral lists this ribosomal RNA (482 nucleotides) under uncultured Alteromonadaceae bacterium. RNAcentral describes it as "bacterial SSU rRNA". It matches the Rfam family "Bacterial small subunit ribosomal RNA", at positions 896 to 1382 of the family's 1533-position model. Lineage: Bacteria; Pseudomonadati; Pseudomonadota; Gammaproteobacteria; Alteromonadales; Alteromonadaceae. The record is from RNAcentral.